Molecule: long non-coding RNA, 873 nt
Organism: Lolium perenne
Lineage: Eukaryota; Viridiplantae; Streptophyta; Magnoliopsida; Poales; Poaceae
Source: RefSeq, a predicted model, not a curated record
GCCUUUCUCUCGUGUGCAUGCAUGCUUAAUGAGUUCUAUGUAUUUGGCUAUUGUUCAGUUAGAUGAUGUUUUGUUUUACUGGUAUAUGGACUGAUUUACUUCAAGGAUCUCCUUGAUAAGGAGUGUUUUUAGUCAAAUUUGGGAAUACAGGAGAAACUAAGACCUAUGAUGGCCCACUUUUGUUACUGCAUAAUAAACUCGUUAAGAAACAUAUGGAUACUUCAUGGAUACCCAAGCAUGGUGGGUUCUUAGUUGAGAGAUUCUGCACACUGAACCUCAAUCCUUCAUUCUUUUUUGCUCCUUCCACUCGUAGCCUUAGAACUGUGAUUCGCUCAGAAAACACCAGCACAAGCCAUGAAUAGAUUGCGAUAUUUUACUAUGCUUGAAAAUUAAACACAACUCACGUGUAAAAUUCUGUAUAACAGUUAUGCUAAGGAGGACUUCAUAUGAUUUUAUAGCCAUCUAAUUGGCUUUCAUACGUCUGGAUUGGAUUAACUGCCACUGUACUUUUCAGCGGUAACAAUAACUUUUGAGCAUAAUAUAUUAUCUCUCUGUAGAUAGUUUAUUUGAUUAUUCACAUGCAUUAUGAAUCACUCUUGUGAUGGUACCUUGGGCCCUUGGUCAUGGCCGUGAAAUUGACUAUGACGGGGAUGAUUAUAUUGUGCCUGUGAGGUUGGCUCUCCUAUGAAACCAGGCCCAAACUAUGUUGAACCUAACUUUCCUUUCCGGAGUGAUUCAUGUACUGUGUGAAUCUUGGAUGCGACUAAUAAAUAAGUUUUUUCUGACCAUUGGUGAACCCUUCGGAAGGAGAACCAAUUUGGCUCUGAUUACUUUGAAUCAAAUCCAGCCUUCAUUCAGUUUAUAUACCUAGAG